RNAcentral lists this ribosomal RNA (253 nucleotides) under uncultured bacterium. RNAcentral's name for it is "partial 16S ribosomal RNA". It matches the Rfam family "Bacterial small subunit ribosomal RNA", at positions 524 to 776 of the family's 1533-position model. The record is from RNAcentral.
UACAGAGGUGGCAAGCGUUGUUCGGAAUUACUGGGCGUAAAGGGCGCGUAGGUGGCUUUUUUAGUCAGACGUGAAAUCCCCGGGCUUAACUCGGGAACUGCGUCUGAUACUGGAAAGCUUGAGUUCGGGAGAGGAAUGUGGAAUUCCAGGUGUAGCGGUGAAAUGCGUAGAUAUCUGGAGGAACACCGGUGGCGAAGGCGGCAUUCUGGACCGAAACUGACGCUGAGGCGCGAAAGCCAGGGGAGCAAACGGG